Molecule: long non-coding RNA, 219 nt
Filed under: Capsicum annuum
Lineage: Eukaryota; Viridiplantae; Streptophyta; Magnoliopsida; Solanales; Solanaceae
Description: long non-coding RNA (CANN_LNC012891)
Source: RNAcentral
AAAUUAGCCUCAGGCUCACUCCUACGGGGACACAUAUUUCUAGGGAAGUAAGGUCGCUUUAUACCUCCCACUCGGUGCUAAAGAUUUCUCCCAAACUUAGCUCAGAUCAUUUCAAAGACAAUCCAAAAUAAAACAAUUUCAGUAAUACAUAAAUAUACAUCAGGAGCCAUCAUGCUUCCCAUCUAUCAAAAUCAACCACAUUGUGGAUUUCUUUCACAC